AGAAAGAGUGUAGCGAAAUAACCAAAAUUGGGGAUAAACUGAACUAAAUAUUUACAGAAAAAAGAAACAAAGAAGAAAAAGAACAAAUGACGUCGUCAUCUUCGAAAUUCAGGUUAUCUCGUCUUGCGCGUUGGAGGAGGAUUUUCCACCGUUAUCCCCAUCGGUUAAAUGGUUAAAGAGGAGCACGUAGGAAGGUCCUUUGGAGAAUACAAGCUCAACCACUCCCAUUCCGUGGCGUGGUACCGUGGUGCCACGCCAGACCACACCGCGCGUAGUCGUGUCCUCGUCUGUAAAAAUGAUCCACACACGCAAAUCCGAUGCGGCGGCGAUGCACGCGGUGCGUUCGGUCGCACGCCGGUGAAGAGGUCAACGAUUACUAUGGCUGACCGAGGUCUUCCAACGAAUAAAAUACUUUCUCGUGGAGAGACCAGGAGAGCGACAACGGUUUUAACGGAAUCCAAAGAAACGAGGAGAUGUGAAUGCCACGAAGAAGAAGAAGAAGAAGAAGCUGCGUAUGAAGCACGGAGUAACAAGGCAAAGAGCAAUAAGUCGUUGUUCGUGGUGGUGUCAUAACGCGCUGUACAAUGACGUCUCGCUACACACCACACCACCACUUGUAGUUCCUUAAUGACUCGGAAUGCCGACUCUCUGUUCGAAGGGAGUGAAAGUCGCGGUUGAACGCGGCCCUCGCGAUAUCUACGCUGCUGUUAUUGCUGUUAUUGCUGUUAUUGCUGCUACCGCCUCAAGGAGGAUAUCGCUUCACUUCGCCGCGUGUAUCUUCUCUCAGUGAACCGAGACACGUGUCUUGCUACGUCUAACGAGGUUGAUACGAAGAGCAUCGAUCAUCCGCCUGUGGAAUAGACGUCUUACAAACUGGCCUGAUAAAUAGAAAACGCAACGCGCAUCGACGAGCGCGCGUUACAACGUUAUCCAACCAGGUAUCUGGUACACACCGUAUCAGUGCUCGUUAAUCGGAACACAAAGUUUCCAAUCGGAAACGUCGUUGUCGUUUCUCGAUCCGGGACCGAUCGCUCGUUGAAAACGUUGAGGACGUGGACCAGCGGAGAGGAGAACGACUUACUUCGUCACCGGGACAGCGGAGACGAGGGGGGACGAUUACACGUUCUGUUAGGAGGGUAGACACGGCGAAGAGGCCAGACAAGCCUAUCACGAAACUCGCGGUCAACGACGAACGAGAGAAGGAUGAGUCACGGCUGUUCUCGCCCGUCCCACUCUUUCCAUCGUGAGGCCGAGGUUGCAGAGAAAAAGAAAGGUAGUCUGCGAAAGACGGAGCAGCGCGGCCAGAAGAUGAAGAAGGUGGCAAAGAAACGAGGAGAUUAGCCCUACGACGGGGUCUCGAGAGGCUACGGUUCUCGCCUACGCGUCGACUAGCUCGACAACCGGAGGAGCCACGACCGAGAUGAAACGAGACGGUUCAACUUCGCUACUUGGACGCAAGAAGAGAGUACAGAAAUAUCGGAUAAGGCAAGAUUAUUCUCCACUCACCUCGGCGAGAGGUUCCUCCUUGGUGACGUCUCCAUUCUUGGGUGCUUCUUCGCG
This is a long non-coding RNA of Frieseomelitta varia, 1560 nucleotides long. RefSeq lists it as uncharacterized. NCBI's taxonomy places the organism in Eukaryota, Metazoa, Arthropoda, Insecta, Hymenoptera, Apidae. The transcript is spliced from 3 exons. The record is from RefSeq and is a predicted model, not a curated record.